Molecule: long non-coding RNA, 324 nt
Filed under: Androctonus crassicauda
Lineage: Eukaryota; Metazoa; Arthropoda; Arachnida; Scorpiones; Buthidae
Source: RNAcentral
ACAACAGAUAUGUCAUACAUGACGUUUUUCGUUGGAGGCAGUAUUGCAAGGUUGAACAUAAUGUUAUUAGUAUGAGGGUAAUACAAAUGCAGGGGUGAACUGUAGGAGGAAUGGGAAUAAAUGCUGAAGACGGAAAAUGCAUAAUAAAUGGAUGCAGUGGGGAGUGGCGCAGUGGCGGGGGUUCUUGGCGCUCUGGAGUUGGAGUCUUUUCGGUGGGAUGUUCUUGGGGAUUCGUGUGGCGGCGUGGUGGGUCGGGUGUCCUUUGGUGUGCAGGGGCGUGUCUCCGGGGAGUUGGUGGGGUUGUUGAGUUUUUGUCAUUCAGGA